AAUUCAAGAGGACACUGGUCCAUGGCUAUCUUUCUUUUCUUACUGUAUCUUGUAACUUCUGUGGUGCUUUAUCGAGAUUUACCAGAUGGCCCUGGAUUGAUUUGCCAAAGAUCCACCCAGGAAUCCUGACUCAUUAAAGAAGGGUGGAGAUUUUCUGAGCUAAGCGAGAGACCUUUCCUCAGAGGUCAUUUUCUCUUCGACUUCUUCUGAGGCAACUCCUGCAGCCAGCCCCCAAAGACAGAAUCAGAUAAUAGGAAUUCAAAAACCUAACUUAACUGUGAGCCAUGUUACAAGGUUCAAGACCUUCAGCAACAGCCAGUUUUACUAAGUUACUAAUAGUCAAGGAGACACAGGAAGAAGAUGGCCAUCUAAAAGUCAAAAGAAGAAGCCUGGAACAGAUUUUUCCCUCACAGUUC
This 416-nucleotide long non-coding RNA is filed under the name Homo sapiens (human). Its description in RNAcentral is "HSALNT0341788". The record is from RNAcentral. Lineage: Eukaryota; Metazoa; Chordata; Mammalia; Primates; Hominidae.